CUGCUUUUGUAUUUUUUCCACGAUGAUAUGCUAACAUGAAGUACUGGCAUGUACUGCCAUGAAUUGGGAAGAUCCAUGGCAGUUGUAUUAAAGUCACUCGUGAAUAAAACAAUACAAUCAACACUUUUUUAUGGAUGAUCGUGGCUUUAGAGGCGAUGCUGGAAGCAAGGCAAAGGGUGGCAGAAACAGGCGUGAUCGAGGUUUUCGGGAUCCAAGGGAUAGAAGAGCUAGGCCAAGUCAAACAAAACCUGCAGUUGAGCAAUUUCUACCGGCAGCUCAACAAGCACAGAUGAAAACGCCAAUUAUUUUAACCAAAACAACCAACGGCAAAGUGAGUAUUUUCUUGGAUGUUUAAUCGUCGUGGGGAAUUUUGUCUUUAAUUAAAUACUCAUGAGCAACAUUUUACAGUCAUGCCAAUAGAAGCGUUUCGAAAAAUGGGUAUUCCAUUUAAUAUCCGUACCCCCCUGUCGAGGAUCCCUGGAAUUCUUCAGGGUAAAGGGUUUUGAACUUGGAAUUCUUCAGGGGUAAAGUGUUUUGAGCUUGGAAUUAUGCAGGGGUAAAGGGUUUUGAGCUUGAAAUUCUUCAGGGGUGAAAGGUUUUGAGCUUGGAAUUCUUCAGGGGUAAAGGGUUUUGAGCUUGGAAUUAUUCAGGGUAAAGAGGUUUGAGCUUGGAAUUCUUCAGGGGUUAAAGGUUUUUAGCUUGGAAUUCUUCAGGGAUAAAGGGUUUUGAGCUUGGAAUUUUGGAAUUCUUCAGGGGUGAAAGGUUUUGAGCUUGGAAUUCUUCAGGGGUAAAGGGUUUUGAGCUUGGAAUUUUGGAACCCUUCAGGGGUAAAAGGUUUUGAGCUUGGAAUUCUUGAGGGGUAUAACUAGGCGUAAAAAAAAUACCUGUGGUUCCGGUUCCCGACCGACCCUAUUUUUUUUCUGCCGACCCUAUUAUUUUUCAACGUGAUUGACUGUGCGACCCUAUUUUCUCCAGGUGGUUGCGGGCUGCUCGUACAGUGUGCCAAAAUGCCGUCUGUUGUCACACUAAUAAUUGAACCAAAUUGCCUAAAUUCGUCCAUAGGAAAUACGCAUCUCUAGUUAACAUUGAUGUUGGGACUCUACUGCAAAUCGCCCAGCAAAAAAAUGCCAAAACCGUGAAAAAAAUAUUCAAAAAAAAAUUUGUUUCCAACCUACCAACCCUAAUUUUUUCACGAUAUGAAACCGGAACCAGGGACGCCGGAACGAUAAUAGGGCAAAGGGGGGCGGACGCACACCAAGGGCACCUUUACUGAAAAAUUUUUUUUCACUGCAAAAUUUUUUGGCGACGGGGGGGGGGGGGGAUCAAAAAAAUUUUCCGGACAUACAAAAAUUUUCCGUGAAGCCAAAAAAUUUUCCGGAUAUCUUAAAUUUUCCCCAUUUCUUCAAAAUAUUUUUCUAAAUUCCAAAAAUUUCCAAAAAUUUUUAUAAAUAUAAACUAUGAAUUACCUGAAUCUCGUGAUUUUCCUACAAAAAGCAUCGUUGAAAAUGUGAUUUAUCACAUAUUAUUUUACAACUGAAAGGGCACUUCCUGCCCCCCCUGCCCCCCUAGCAAAAGGCAAGGGGGGCAGCCGCCCCCCCUGCCCUCCCAGUUCCGGCGUUCCUGACCGGAACCACAGGUAUUUUUUUUUACGCCCUAUGAAAAACAUGUAUCCUCAACAGGGAGGGGGUACGGAUAUUAAAUGGAAUAGCCCAAUGUUGACCAGUUCAUUUCCUAACUUCGAGGAGUUCCUCUGAACAAUUCCUCAACAAUUUGAUAAGUUGCUAAAAAAAUUCUUAACUUCCUGUUUCAUUGACCAAUCAAAUUUUAUAUUUUAUUUUUGAGCAAUCUGAUUGGUCAAUAAAACAGGAAGUUAGGAACUUUUUAUGGAACUUAUCAACUUGUUGAGGAAUUGUUCAGAGGAACUCCUCGAAGUUAGGAAAGGAACUGGUCAACAUUUUUUGGAAUGGUUCUAUUGGCACGACUGUAAUAUAGUCCAUGAAAAUUGAUAAUUGGAAAUGCAUUCGAUCAAUCGAAUCAUAACAAUGAAUACUGAUUUUCUUUGGAUAAUCGAUAGCUAAUCAAUAGUUACAGAAAGCUUGGCCAAUUGUAUCAAUUGUCAUCAACUUUUAUUAGGGACAUAUCAGAUCCAGAUACCACUACAGGGUAUUUUCAGGGAUUUUUUAGGGCUGUUAAACGGACCCAAAAACUCAAUCUUGAAUUGAGUUUUGAAACUCAAUUUUCUCACCAAAGUUUCAGUGCAGUAAAAAUGAAGUUGUUUGAGUUAAAUUUCGUGACGGUGGAAAUUUGUUUCCAGUUGGUAGCCGACAAUUAAAAAAAAUGGCUGGAAUUCAUCUCACAACACAAGAAAAACUAUGCAUUCGCCUUUCAAAAUUGAUGAUUUCUAAGGUCUUUAUAUUUUAAAUAGAAAGGUUUUUCACUGGUCGGGCGGGGACACUACCCAAGUUUUUUUUUACUUGGCUUUAUGUACAGUAAAUGCAGAUCAAGAGUGGACAGAUAUUCAUUACUAAUUCACAAAAUGUAAAAUAUUAUAAUAGGAAAUUGAAAUAAUCUUCAAUUAUUUUGAAUUAAUUAUUAAUAGAUCUAAUGUGGCACUAAUUUUUGCUAUUAUCUAAUAGCAAAGCAUUUAAUUCAUUCAUUUAUAAUAAUUUUGAUUAAAUAGGGAACUGAAUCAGGGAAAUCAAUUACAAUCAAGCCAAGGUGAGAUGGAAAGAAAAAUCUUGACUGAAUUGACCAUUUGCGUAAUAGACUAAAUUUUGAUCUCAACAAAAAUUUCAUUACAGCUUGAAAGAGCA
Molecule: non-coding RNA, 2813 nt
Organism: Paramuricea clavata
Lineage: Eukaryota; Metazoa; Cnidaria; Anthozoa; Malacalcyonacea; Plexauridae
Source: the annotation of a GenBank genome assembly